AAGUCGUAACAAGGUAACCGUAGGUGAACCUGCGGUUGGAUCAUUAUUGAAAUUUUAUAACAAAAGGGAAGGAAAAGUUUGAAAACUUUAUUGUUUUACCACAGUAGGGGAUUUGGCUUUACCUUUUCUUUUCAACCCCAAACCUUGUGAAAUUGAUAUACUUGUCUUUGGAGUCACUUGAUGUUAUUAUAGAAAUUUUUAUUGGUUUCUAUUAUUUACAUAGAUGAGAACUCCUACUUAUUGAUAUAAACAUUUAUUAUUAACCAUUUUCUAUUAAACUUUGUUUAAUACGAAGCCAAAAUUUUGUAUUGAAUCAAGUGAUUUUUUAAAACAACUUUUAAAAAAAAACUUUUGACAAUGGAUCUCUUGGCUCUC
Molecule: unclassified non-coding RNA, 375 nt
Filed under: fungal sp.
Lineage: Eukaryota; Fungi
Description: partial internal transcribed spacer region
Rfam family: Eukaryotic small subunit ribosomal RNA (bases 1-46)
Source: RNAcentral